GUGUCGCUUGUAUCGACGAAACUGGUGCGCGCGUACACGUGGUCGUUUGCACCUGUGGUGUAAAACUUCGUGGAUUUUGGCAAACGAGAGCUUGUUAAAAACAGAGAAUUCAAUUGUUGACACUGGAGAUUGAGUGGAUUCUCGGUAUUUCGUGAAAAUCUACGUUGUUUUAAGAGUUUGGAUAUCAGUGGUUGCACAUUUACGAGGUUAGGUUAGAUUGAAUUAUUUCGGAUUAAAAGAACAAUGGAAAAAUGAAUAGCCGUGAUUCUAAACUCUCGAGAUUUGAUUAAAUGUAUUCACAUUCUACAAUGAAUUUUUCAAUCGGAAGUCUGUGAAAUUACGAUUAUCUUUUUCGUUGGGAGAAAGAAUCAGUUUGCUAAAAAUUUCAUAGUAUAUCGAUUAUCUAUACGGAGAAUAGAAUACGGAUUAGUUUUCCGAUUUUAUCUACUCGUUCAGCUUUGCUGAAAUCAGUUCGCGAUAUCACGUAUAAUGCUGCUAUCGGAAAAGAUUUGAAUUUCGAAAUUUGGAAGUAUAAAAUUACAGCACGAUGGAUUAGUCAUGCUAUCUAAAUCGUCAAAAAAGAAUUUGAAACAUCUUUAUUCUAUUAUUCUUACUUGUUGAUUUAUUUCAUUUUUCGACACUUAACCUAAAAACUAAAAAACCUUAAACUAUCCAAAAUUUCGCUCGUGCAAAUAUCAUCCUUCGCUAUUCGCUUCGAACUGAACAUCAUCGAUUUAUGAAGAGGUAUACCUAUUUGGAAGAUUGAACGUGGAGCACUGUUACCUUCGAGAAGUAGGAGUUUCUCAAGGACCUCACCUUGGCAAUAUCCAAAGCGAAGAGGAGUUAAGGUCAAGAGAGCAUCCUCAGCGGGAAAGAGAAUGAGAUAUUAGUCCUUCGAGUCCCUCGAAAUUACAAACGAGAAGGCUGCGUCUGGAAUAGGUCGGGCCUUCGACUAGAAGAAUCGUUUUUUCCCGCGGAGAGAUUUGUGUCGGCCAAGAGUUUGGUAUCUGGGACUCGAAGCUACCCACGUCUUAUCCUAUCCGCCUACACGUAAAACACUCCCCUUCCGUAUCUGCGUUUCGAGAUCCUGCACACCAAGGCUGGAAACCAUCUAACCUCUUGGACGAGACGAGGCUGUUACGGGAGAGAAGAAGGGUAGGCAGAGUCCUUCCUCACCAGAGACAGGUCUCGUGGUAUCCAAGAGUGGUAAUAUCUUAAGGAAAGUCAAUAGCUUCGGGCCAAGAUCGCACUUUUUUCCAUCGCCUAUCACUUCGUUUUUCCAUCCUAUUCUUCCCCCCAAGCUUGACAGAUUCGUUCUUCCAAGCGCUUUUGUGGCGUCGAAUAAAAAUUCAGAUUAGGGGAUCCUCUCCUCCUGAGUCUGUUUCUCUUUUUGAGUAUCUAAUCGAAUAUUUUAUUCGCACAAUUUGACGACAAUCAAUUAUUUAACUCUAUCGUUUUGAUUCUAUGAAAGAGAGAUUAGUCGAAUUGAAGAUGGCUUUAAUUAAUCAGGAUAAAUAAUUCAUAUAUAAUUAGAAAAUUGUUUAAUAACAAUUUCUAACGAAUCAAAUUGAUUACGACUGUAUAUUCCGACUAUGACUCGAGUUAAGAGAUGGGUUAUUACGAUGCAAGAUUGAAUCGAUGUCAAAAGUGAUAGAAGAGGUUAUGUUAUUUGCGCAAGUGAGACACAUGGUUGAUUUGCAAUGUAGAAUAUACGAUGUUUGCGAAACAGUUGCAGGUAAACCGUGAAUUUUUCAAAACGUCCAUGGUUCUUUCCAUACACAAAUACGAAAUUUACAUCGAAAUAGAGAAACUGGAAUAGAAUACGUAUCUUCUGUACAUCAUUGAAGCGAAACUUCAAAAUUUGAAUUUUACGUUCCCGUUUACAUUUAAAAAUCUUGAAAAACACUCUUGAAACGAAAUUAUUCAUUCCGAAAUUUUGUCAAAAAUAUGAUAAAUGUCUCAAGACUUGAUUUGCAACGUGAAAAUACGUGUAAUUUGAUAUAUCUAACGUUUCUUAAUUAUCCUAUUUUUAUAAUUUAAUUUCAAGCCUCUCUUUCCAAACUUGCAAUCUUUCUUUGUUAAACAAGUAGCUCCUUGCAAGCACAUAUUUCGAAAUGUAUCGAAAUACGAGCUGCUCAGGAUCAAUAUUUGAAGAUAUUCUAGCCUCUCUAGCAACACUAGAAGACAAUAAUAUUAAAAAUCAGAACCCUCGACAUCAUUUGACUCUCUUUUGAAUCUCGACUUCUCCCUCUCUUUACAGAUCAAAAAAUCCCUUAAACACAUACACAUUUUCCAUUUCAUCCAAGAUUAUUCAUCGAAAUACUCUCGACCAUCGAUACCAAUCAUCAUCCUAAGGCGAAACGAAAAUUUAAACGAAUUAUUGCAAAUGAAAAAUCUUGAACUCGUUUUAAAUUAAUUCCUCCCCCAACGGUAGACAAUCUUCCAAGGAAAGAAGGGGGCAGAACGAGAAAACGAGAGAGAGAGAGAAGUGGACAAAUAUAAGCCGGACGAAAUCCCGGAAUAAACGCGGGGAGAAAAUCGAUCAGGCCGGAAAUACCGAGCGCAGACGGUUUAAGGAUGAAAAGGAAAGGGGGUUGGUGCGAAGGGGUUGGCGCGCGAACGAGGCCUUCGAGCGAAGCAGAGCGAAACGCGGUUACAGAAGUAGAACGAAGGACGCGUGCAUAUAGGGCGAGGGGGAGGAGUUCGAGGCGGGGGAAACGGGUCGUCGGGGGACGGCACAGGACGUGGAAAUGGAAGAAGCCCCGAGGACGAUGGCGUGUGCCGCCUCGCCGCCUCUCUAAUGCAACAUGACGCGAUACCGGACUUAUGCUUCUGCUGAAGGCUUGGAAAACUGGGAAGAGGUUCCUGAAACGAUCGAUCGAUCCAUUUUCCUUUCCAAAUAAUCGCGAUCGUCGAGGAGAUACUGCAAAAUCGGAUCGAAGCUUGAUUUAAAAGUGUAUAUAUAUACUGAAAAUUCGAAGUUCAACGCGUCCUUGUCCGUGGCUCAAAGGUAACUAGUUGGGAAGGUGGAGGGACUGCAAGCUCCGCUAUUAGGUAGAUCAAAAACCAAUAUGGAACGUUCUACUUUCGAGUACAGAGCCACUUGUCCAUUAGCGGCGAAAAGGAAUCUAUCUAUCGGUAAAGUCUUGGAUUACCAAUUUCUGACUAAUAAAAUCACCCGAGAGCUAAGAUUUGAAAAUGGCUCUUGAAUUACCUCCUUUAUUCGUUAAUGAACUACUCCUAGAUAGCUCGAAGGCCCGAUUAACCGAUUAAAAGAUAUCGUUGUUCUCUCGAGAACAACCCUGAUCGCCCCUUCCCCGACCUUCUCAACACCCAAAUCCUCGAGGAGAGGAAAGCAAUCGACUUUAAAUUACGCGCGAUGAAAUUUACCGCAGGAUUCGCAGGAAAACGUCGCGCGCUUCCCUCUCCUCCCGUCGUGUCGCGUUUCCACGAGGGAUACGAAGGAGAAGGGGAGGAGAGGGGGCGAGGAAGAGGCGAAGAUGAGAAGAACAGGAGAGAAGGACGAGGGAUAAACGCGGGAGGAGCUCGGCUGGGGGAGGGUGAUCACGUGAGGGAUGGCGUGUUGCCUCUGUGCGCCGCUGGUUAUAUCGCGGACCCUGGAUCCAGGGGCGAGGGAGGGCAAAGAAUUAUACUACGUGCCUGGAGUGUCAAGUCGCGGGGGUGCUUUAUGGUGGAACCAGCCGUUCGAGCUUGUGCAUCCACCGCCAUCGCGAAUUGCUCCGUCUCUCCCUCUCUCUCUCCUGCGUCUUCGAGCCUGUUAAUGGCCGCCUACCCCUUUGAAUACAUCGCUUCAGGUAUUCGAACGAUUUUCGAAUUCCCUUCUACUUUUCCCCAGAUUUGUUGUAACGUGUCGCGUGCAAAGAGAAAAGUAACCGUAAAAGAUGAAUAAGAAAUGAUUUUUCUUCCGAGGGUAAAUUCGAAUUAUUAUUAGGAAUUUAAUUUAAAGCUAUCCCGACGAAUAACCUUCCAAUGAUCUUCAACUCCUCCUUUCUUGUAUUUUUGGAAUUUUCCGGUGAAGGGAGGGCACGAUUGAACGGAGCGAGGUAGAAAACGUUCGCUAAUUAAAAUUCGAUUCUUCGCCGGUGUUUUCUCUUUCUCUUUUUUUCUUUUCGCGAAUAAUAAAGCAAAGGGGGGGGGGAUCUAUAAUGAAUCGAGGCAAGCUUGCGACGUGUUUGGUUUUGCUUUAGAAGGAGUGCGGAAAUAUACCGCAUCCUCGCGGGGCAAAGAAAAACAAUGAGGAGCCGAGCGCGUUGGAAAAGGUAAACUGAAAACUAAACUUGAAAAGCUAUUGCCUGUAUACCCUCUCAAACACGGCUUCGGGAUCGGUGUCAAGUGUCCGUGGACAAAUAUUUACAGGCUACGUUUGCCCUAAUCUUUGAACCUUUUAAAUCGCCGUACGGGAAGGACAAAGAUUCCUCCUCGACGAUGAUGGAAAAUCCUUAAACUCUUUCUCUCUUUUUUUUUUUUUCUUCACUCGCGUUAUUUCAUCAAACUGUCCACCUUCUUGACAGUUUCGUUCUAUCGAUUGGAAUUUAACUUUUGUACAACUGCCUGCCAAUCAACUUCCUUCUUCCUCAUCGAUCUUAACGAGCUCGAUACGAGAUAAUAUGAUCGUUCUUUGGAAAAAAAAAUAAUAUCUCACGAGCCUGUAGAUAUUAAUCUCUCGACUCGUGCUCGAAUAUAUUUUUUUUUUUAUGUCUAGGAUACAUCUUUAAAAACGAAUCGCAUGAUUCCAAGUAGAAAAACGUGUCAAUGACCAAUUUUGUUUCAAAAAUUACUAAAUACAAAUACUUCUCCUUCGUCUUCUCCUCCCAAAAUCCCGAUCAAUAUUCUCAUUCGCAUUCCUUCGAGACGACCCUUUAACCAAGAUUACGCCUUAUCCAGAUUAUCUAAUUGGCAAAAAGGGGUUGAUCCGCGUAAGGGUAAAUUAACCGCGCUAUCGUGAUUCCGUGGAAUGGAAACCGUGGAGAGAAACGUCACCGUCGUUUGAUCGAAACGUUUCGUACACACCGUCGAAGGGAACCCCGUUCUAUUUUCAGCAAAAACACGAAUCGUAAGCAAAGGGAGGAAACGGAGACAGAGAGGGAGGGAGGGAAAGAGAGAGAGAGACAGGGAAUGCGCUUUCGUGCACAGCAAACGUUGAAACAAUGGAGGAAGAAUAGGGACCAGGACGAGGGAUAUGAUGAAAAUGGAUGGCAAAUUUUUUUUUUUUUUUUUUGACGAGCGAAACACACGGUGCAGUGUGUAGUUUUAAAAGCGUGUUUCUAUUAGACGCCGGCCACCCCCAAAGCUUGGAGCAGCAUUUUGCGCGCAACCUUCACCGGAAGUAAAUGGAAAAUUCCAUGAAGGCAAAGCCAGCUCUACUUAACCGGGGACAAAAUGAGAGGGGGAGGGAAAAAUUUUCGCCAACACGCGGGGGGGGAUUUUUAAUUUGAAUUUCCACGGUUUAAAUCGCGUUAAUUGCGUGUGUCCGUUACGCGCCAUUUUUAAUAAAAAUUCAAAAUUUAUUUACAGGAUCGGAUCAUUAAUUCCAUUGUUGGAACAAGCUUCGUUAAAGGGAGAGGGAGGGGAAGAAAGAAAGGAAACUUCGUAGAAUUUAUUUUGCGUUUAUGAAUCUUUCAGAAUGUCGGGUUACGUGUAAAUUGUUGUAUUAAUAUUAAUGAUAAUGCGCACAGCAGUUUGGUAAAACGAUAUCGUACAUGCAACACCCGUGCAAAUAAAUCUUUCGUGGCACAUUAUCCGUUAUAGGAAGGAAUUUUUUCGAUCGUCGAAUCGAAAGUAAAAAUAAUGGAAAUGGAAAAACAUUUCGACUCGAGAGAAUAAUCAUUUUUCUAUAGAAUAAAAAAUGAUAAUCCUCCCCUCGAAUUACUCUUUCGAUGACACGACCAGCCUCCUUAAAACCGUUAAAUUUAUUCACCUCUCAUUUCGUGCUCCGUUCAAAAUCCUUAUUUCGAAAGUUCUCGAGCCUGAUUUCACACCCAAUCCUUCUUCUUCAUCCCUCGUGAACGUGUCAUCCCCCGCCAACUUGCCCCCUCCUCUCAAAACAUAAAUCCAACGUGACCCUAACUCCAACAGUGCCAAAGUUGUAAAAUCUCGAGACUCACCGCUACAUCGAUGAUCGCCAACUUUAUCAUUCUAAUCGAGAAGAGGGGGCUACGAUCAAUGACGACAAUUUAAUUGCGUAAAUGACGCUUUUAAUUCCAGAUAAAUCAGGAUAUUUCUUCUUCCAUGUCGCAUAAUUCUUCGUGGACGAUCGGAGUGUCGUUUGUUUCUUAAGAAUAUUCUUAAGAGAUGCUCAAAAGUCUCUGCUUUUAACGAAAUAAUAAUUAUAAGGUUUAUAAAACGAAAAUCUCUUUGAAGGGAUAAAAUUUUACUCUUAGACGCAAACAGAGGGACGCAGAGAGUAUUAAUAAACGCAUCUCAUUUCAUCAGAGCUCGUGUUAAUUUCUUUGAUUUUUCUUAUUAAUUUAUAUAUAUAUAAAAAAAAAUUACUCGAAUAUCGCGAACAAAUAUCAAAAACAAUUGAAGAAAAAAAGAAAAAAAGGAAGUAAACGAGAACGCAAAUCUUCGAAUUCGAAACUUUCCACUUCGAUGAUGCACUCGCUUCCCAAGUCGAAAUCAGUUUCGCGCGAAAAUACACCCAGAUCGUAACUUAACGUUUAGCAUUCCGAUUCCACGGAAUAUUGGAUUACGAUAUAGUGUGGUGAUAUCAGGGUUUGAUUCGAUCUUCGAUCAACUUCAAUUCUGGAACUCGUUUGUCCUUUGAUGGCGAGUUCCGGUUGCCGGAUCGAUCCAGCCGGGAGGGGAACGAACGCGAUAUCGUUGGAUUUUGGCCGUUUAUGAAUUUUCUUGUUAAAGGGAGUGUGGGUAUUUGGUCUGGUUUGCGAAUUGAAUGAAUAAUCGAUAUGGCGAGGGGUGUUGGUGUUUCCACGGGAAAUGGAAGUUUGAAGUGGCGAUCGGUUGGCAAAACCUUACUAUUGCUGUUCGUGGUGGAUGGGCAUUUGAAAAAGCUUGUUGUUUUUCAAAUUAAGGAACGUUUUGACUUGUAAAUGAAAUAAAACGGAGAUGUUUUUAAAAAAAUAAUAAGUUUGAAACUAUUAUAUCCCCUAGCGUGUCAUUUAGGGACCCCUAGAAUUCGGGAUUUGUAACGAAAAAGUAAAAUCCUCGCAGGAACAUAAUUUCACGUGAUCAUUAAUACAAGAUCUUUUGCAUUCUUUCAGAGUUUCCAUGAAAACGUGAAAGACUCGUUAAAGUUGACGAUAGAUAGAUAGAAAGAUCGAAGAAAUACAAAAUGAAAUCUGUAACGAUUGGAUUAAAUUUCUAUCACCGAGAAAAAGGCCAGAUAAAAGUUGUUGCUGUUGCUUUUAAGUUGGAAUUGUAAAUAGAAAUGUUUUUAAAAAAUAAUUUUGGGCGUGAAACUACUUGAUUAUAUCCUUAACGAUCUAGGGAUCCCUAGAAUUCGAGAUUUGAAACGAAAAUGCAGAAUCUCCGUAGGAACAUAAUUUCACGUGAUCAUUAACGUAAGAUCCUUUGCAUUUCUCUUUCAGAGUUUCCGUGAACGACUCAUUAAAGUUGACGAUAGAUAGAAAUACAAAAUGAAAUCUGUAACGAUUCGAUUAAAUUUUUAUCAUCAAGAAGAAAA
This is a long non-coding RNA of Apis cerana (Asiatic honeybee), 7663 nucleotides long. RefSeq lists it as uncharacterized. The record is from RefSeq and is a predicted model, not a curated record. NCBI's taxonomy places the organism in Eukaryota, Metazoa, Arthropoda, Insecta, Hymenoptera, Apidae.